RNAcentral lists this ribosomal RNA (253 nucleotides) under uncultured bacterium. Its description in RNAcentral is "partial 16S ribosomal RNA". It matches the Rfam family "Bacterial small subunit ribosomal RNA", at positions 524 to 776 of the family's 1533-position model. The record is from RNAcentral.
UACGUACCGUACGAACGUUAUUCGGAAUUACUGGGCUUAAAGGGCUUGUAGGCGGCCAUGUAAGUGGGGUGUGAAAUCCCUCGGCUCAACCGAGGAAUGGCGCCCCAUACUGUAUGGCUUGAGGGAGACAGGGGUAAGCGGAACUGAUGGUGGAGCGGUGAAAUGCGUUGAUAUCAUCAGGAACACCGGUGGCGAAAGCGGCUUACUGGGUCUCUUCUGACGCUGAGGAACGAAAGCUAGGGUAGCGAACGGG